UACGUAGGUGGCGAGCGUUGUCCGGAUUUACUGGGCGUAAAGGGAGCGUAGGCGGACUUUUAAGUGAGAUGUGAAAUACUCGGGCUCAACUUGAGUGCUGCAUUUCAAACUGGAAGUCUAGAGUGCAGGAGGGGAGAAUGGAAUUCCUAGUGUAGCGGUGAAAUGCGUAGAGAUUAGGAAGAACACCAGUGGCGAAGGCGAUUCUCUGGACUGUAAUUGACGCUGAGGCUCGAAAGCGUGGGGAGCAAACAGG
This 253-nucleotide ribosomal RNA is filed under the name uncultured bacterium. RNAcentral describes it as "partial 16S ribosomal RNA". It matches the Rfam family "Bacterial small subunit ribosomal RNA", at positions 524 to 776 of the family's 1533-position model. The record is from RNAcentral.